UACGUAGGGGGCAAGCGUUGUCCGGAAUCAUUGGGCGUAAAGCGCGUGUAGGCGGCCCGAUAAGUCCGCUGUGAAAGUCCAGGGCUCAACCCUGGGAUGCCGGUGGAUACUGUCGGGCUCGAGUCCGGAAGAGGCGAGUGGAAUUCCUGGUGUAGCGGUGAAAUGCGCAGAUAUCAGGAGGAACACCAAUAGCGAAGGCAGCUCGCUGGGACGGUAUUGACGCUAAGGCGCGAAAGCGUGGGGAGCAAACAGG
This 253-nucleotide ribosomal RNA is filed under the name uncultured bacterium. Its description in RNAcentral is "partial 16S ribosomal RNA". It matches the Rfam family "Bacterial small subunit ribosomal RNA", at positions 524 to 776 of the family's 1533-position model. The record is from RNAcentral.